GGAAGUAAAAGUCGUAGCAAGGUUUCCGUAGGUGAACCUGCGGAAGGAUCAUUAUUGAGAUUAUUCAUACACGUGAACGGAUUAUGCUUGGCGUGAGCGCGCUGCUUGCGCUGCUUGCGCCGAUAUUAACGCAUAUAAUUGUCUGAUAGACCAAAGAAAUUUUAAAACUUUCAACAACGGAUCUCUUGGUUCUC
Molecule: unclassified non-coding RNA, 194 nt
Filed under: plant metagenome
Description: partial contains small subunit ribosomal RNA, internal transcribed spacer 1, and 5.8S ribosomal RNA
Rfam family: Eukaryotic small subunit ribosomal RNA (bases 1-54)
Source: RNAcentral